This 118-nucleotide non-coding RNA is filed under the name Gorilla gorilla gorilla (western lowland gorilla). The record is from Rfam by way of RNAcentral. Lineage: Eukaryota; Metazoa; Chordata; Mammalia; Primates; Hominidae.
GCCGGGUGUGGUGGCUCACACCUGUAAUCCCAGAACUUUGGGAGGCCAAGGUGGGCGGAUCACUUGAGGUCAGGAGUUUUGAGACCAGCCUGGCCAACAUAGUGAGACCCCGUCUCUA